RNAcentral lists this long non-coding RNA (678 nucleotides) under Prunus dulcis (almond). Its description in RNAcentral is "sRNA ncRNA". The record is from RNAcentral. Lineage: Eukaryota; Viridiplantae; Streptophyta; Magnoliopsida; Rosales; Rosaceae.
AUGAAGGAAGAAAUUGAUCUCUCAGCACUCCUGGACCUAACCCUUGGCCUUCCUGGAGGUAGGGUUAACCAUUGCCCAGAACCAGACCAACUUUCCACUGCCCUCACUUUGUGUGAUCCAACUUGGAAUUACGACACACACCAGAGAAAAGAAGAGGAAUAUUUAGACCCUGCUCCUCUCAGAUUUGCCCUUCCUAAUCCGGAACACGAGAAAAUGUCGGGUACGAAUGAUAUCAACAAGGAAUUAAAGAAGAAGAAGAGAAACCAAGCAGUGCCGGAUACGGUGAGUCUACAGCCUCAGGAUGAGAGGCCUUGGAAAAUCAGGAAGCAGCUGACAGUAAGCGACAUUGGAAACUGCUCAAGGCUACUGAUGCCGAAAAAAUCGGUCAUCGACCAUGUUAUGUGUUACUUGGAUGACAAGUUUGCCAAAAGGGUUAUGAGCGGGGAGGGCAUAGGAGUUAUGGUUGUAGACUGCGACACAAACACCGGGCAUUACUUGAAUUUCAAGCUUUGGGGGUCGGCCGAGUUUUACAUUCUCAACGGAGAUUGGAGGCAAGAGUUUGUGCACAGGAGAGGCUUGAAGGAGAAGGAUAGAAUUGGGCUUUAUUGGGAUACCUCCAAAUCCAUGUUCAUGUUUUCUGUUCUUGAAAGGGCAAUCCAAUCCCAAUUCCCUGCUUGA